This 397-nucleotide ribosomal RNA is filed under the name uncultured bacterium. RNAcentral describes it as "partial 16S ribosomal RNA". It matches the Rfam family "Bacterial small subunit ribosomal RNA", at positions 523 to 917 of the family's 1533-position model. The record is from RNAcentral.
AUACGUAGGGUGCGAGCGUUGUCCGGAAUUACUGGGCGUAAAGAGCUCGUAGGUGGUUUGUCGCGUCGUCUGUGAAAUUCCGGGGCUUAACUCCGGGCGUGCAGGCGAUACGGGCAUAACUUGAGUACUGUAGGGGAGACUGGAAUUCCUGGUGUAGCGGUGAAAUGCGCAGAUAUCAGGAGGAACACCGGUGGCGAAGGCGGGUCUCGGGGCAGUAACUGACGCGGAGGAGCGAAAGCAUGGGUAGCGAACAGGAUUAGAUACCCGGGUAGUCCAUGCCGUAAACGGUGGGCGCUAGGUGUAGGGGUCUUCCACGACUUCUGUGCCGUAGCUAACGCAUUAAGCGCCCCGCCUGGGGAGUACGGCCGCAAGGCUAAAACUCAAAGGAAUUGACGGG